Molecule: long non-coding RNA, 399 nt
Filed under: Triticum aestivum (bread wheat)
Lineage: Eukaryota; Viridiplantae; Streptophyta; Magnoliopsida; Poales; Poaceae
Description: long non-coding RNA (TAES_LNC028107)
Source: RNAcentral
UUGGCGCUCACCUUUGCUUUAGAUUCAGAAACUCCUGCAGAAAUACCACACCAAACUCGCAAUUCGAACAAAACACCACACUGAACUGCUCAUAUUUAGUUCAGCAUAAUCUGGAAUAACCAUUCAAAUGAAAUCCCAUGAAUAUUUUGUGACCAAGGGAACAGAAAUCAGACCAGUCUUGAGAAGUCAUUUACAAAGAAAAGCCUAAUUUUUGAAGUUUCCUGCGCAAAACAGAGAUGUAAUGCAUGACAGAUUAUAGAAUUGCAAAUUUCUGUUAAUAAAGGAAAUGCAUAGGAUAAUCUAUAGUACUUGGGCUUGUUGCCUGCUCAUCCUAAACAAGAACACUUUAUUAAAUCCAUUGUUUUUUAUAAUCUACAAUAAUUAAUACCUCAGCAGGGC